Molecule: transfer RNA, 100 nt
Filed under: Xylaria cubensis
Lineage: Eukaryota; Fungi; Ascomycota; Sordariomycetes; Xylariales; Xylariaceae
Also listed under: 2 other names
Description: tRNA-Leu
Rfam family: tRNA
About the family: Transfer RNA (tRNA) molecules are approximately 80 nucleotides in length. Their secondary structure includes four short double-helical elements and three loops (D, anti-codon, and T loops). Further hydrogen bonds mediate the characteristic L-shaped molecular structure. tRNAs have two regions of fundamental functional importance: the anti-codon, which is responsible for specific mRNA codon recognition, and the 3' end, to which the tRNAs corresponding amino acid is attached (by aminoacyl-tRNA synthetases). tRNAs cope with the degeneracy of the genetic code in two manners: having more than one tRNA (with a specific anti-codon) for a particular amino acid; and 'wobble' base-pairing, i.e. permitting non-standard base-pairing at the 3rd anti-codon position.
Source: RNAcentral
GGCAAGAUGGCCGAGUUGGUUAUGGCGUGAGGUUAAGGUUACCUUAACAGACAAUUUCCUCAUGGAGCAAUCCGCGUGGGUUCAAGUCCCACUCUUGUCA